GAUGAACGCUGGCGGCGUGCCUAAUACAUGCAAGUCGAGCGAACGGACGAGAAGCUUGCUUCUCUGAUGUUAGCGGCGGACGGGUGAGUAACACGUGGAUAACCUACCUAUAAGACUGGGAUAACUUCGGGAAACCGGAGCUAAUACCGGAUGAUAUUUUGAACCGCAUGGUUCAAAAGUGAAAGACGGUCUUGCUGUCACUUAUAGAUGGAUCCGCGCUGCAUUAGCUAGUUGGUAAGGUAACGGCUUACCAAGGCAACGAUGCAUAGCCGACCUGAGAGGGUGAUCGGCUACACUGGAACUGAGACACGGUCCAGACUCCUACGGGAGGCAGCAGUAGGGAAUCUUCCGCAAUGGGCGAAAGCCUGACGGAGCAACGCCGCGUGAGUGAUGAAGGUCUUCGGAUCGUAAAACUCUGUUAUUAGGGAAGAACAUAUGUGUAAGUAACUGUGCACAUCUUGACGGUACCUAAUCAGAAAGCCACGGCUAACUACGUU
RNAcentral lists this ribosomal RNA (497 nucleotides) under uncultured bacterium. RNAcentral's name for it is "partial 16S ribosomal RNA". It matches the Rfam family "Bacterial small subunit ribosomal RNA", at positions 28 to 507 of the family's 1533-position model. The record is from RNAcentral.